UGUGUCAACUGCAACCAAAAAAAAUUUAAAAACAAGAACACUAUUCCCUUUGGCUUGGGAUGUGGAGGCAAGGGGAUUAUGAGUUCAAAGCCAGUCUCAGCAACCAGCGAGGCGCUAAGCAACUCAGAUCAUGUCUCUAAAAUAAAAUGCAAAAUAGGGCUGGGAAUGUGGCUCAGUGGUUGAGUGCCCCUGAGUUCAAUCCCCAGUAACAAAACACCAUUCAGGAAGGCUCUGCCCUCAUAGCCUAAUUACCUCCCCAAAGCCCCAAAGAAUUUGGGGGGAAGUUAUGGAUGAGGUGAUGCUUGUUAAGUUUCUCCAACACAUCCAUCUCCUUUCUGUACUCUUUGAAAGGAAGCCCACACGUAUGGGGGAAUUGUACUUCAACUCCUUGAGAAGAAGAAAUAGGGUUGUGUUGUUUUCUAUAUUCAGUGGGACUUCCCAAGACUGUGCAGGCUAUUGCUGGAUGUCCAAAAUCCCUGCUCACAAUUCACCAGAAACCAGUAGUGAAACCAACUGAAAAUGUCCAAGUUUCCAUAAUAACCCCUAGGGGUCAGUACUGCCCUAUUGAGAACCACUGAUAGAAGGUUUCCAAUUCUGGUCUCUCUCUCUCUCUCUCUCUCUCUCUCUCUCUCUCUCUCUCUCUCAAUAUUUUUUAGUUGUAGGUGGACACAACACCUUUAUUUUUACCUUUUAUAUUUUAACCCUUUAUUUUUUUUGUGGUGCUGAAGAUCAAACCCAGUGCCUCAUGCAUGCUAGGUGAGCGCUUUACCUCUGAGCCACAACCCCAGCCCCCAAUUCUGGUUUCUUUAAAGUGGAGCAUAAAUUUAAAGCAUUUACAAAGGAUUCUGAGUGCCGAAUCCAUACUGUUAUGCUUUCCUCCUGAUUUACAUAUGAUUUUCACAUCUAACUCAGCAGCAAUUUAUAUGAGCCAUUUGUCUUGGAGAGUUCUAUAAAAUGUUCAACUUUCUUUUCAUAUGAACUUGUUUGAGGACUAGGAGUGUAGCUCAGUAGUAGAGUGCUUACUUAGCAUAGGUGGGGCCCUGGAUUUGAUCCCCAGCCCUGCAAAGCGGGGGGGAACCCUUAAGUUCAUUUUUAAUGUUUUAUAUAACAUUAAAUUAUAUACUUGAAUUUUUUUUAGUUGUAAUUGGACACAAUACCUUUAUUUAAUUUAUUUAUUCAUAUGUGGUGCUGAGGAUCGAACCCAGGGCCUCUCACAUGCUAGGUGAGUGCUCUACUGCUGAGCCCCAAUCGCAGCCCCUAAAUUAUAUACUUCUAUAAUGACAAAGAUAACUGGAUUGAAUAUGUUUGUAUGGACACAGUUGACAGCUCAUCCACAAAUCAGAGAUGGAGCUAUCCAGAGAGGACAACCAGUUACAUUAACUCAGCCUUUCAAUUCUCAGUUCUUUACUGAAGAAAUGGUGAAGCAGAUUAGUAAUUGGAUAAGUGGAAAUUAAUUGAUAGAAUUUAUACUAUAAAUGCACAGGUUUGAGUCCCACAAUAUUAUAGAAGGUUUUUUUUUUUUUUUAUGCCAAUACCCAGGUCUGCUGUAGAGGUAAUGGAAUAGGCACUUUCAUAGACUUCAAACUGUUUACACAUUUCAUUUUGCAGUAGGUUUCAAGAGUUUAAAGACUAAAAUGUCCAGAUCCUUUUACUGGGUAAUAUUGUGAUAUUCUGGGAAUUCUGUUUCCUAGAAAAUAGUCAGAUUUCAAUGUCUAAAAUAUAUACAAUGUGUUGCUUGUGUUAUUUUCUAGCAACAAAAAAUUAGAAAUAAAAGCCCCAAAUGGAGAAAUAGUUAACAUUCAUAGUACCCAUAAUAAUAGAAUAUCAUCUAUUCUAACAUGACUUAAGCACUUUGUGCUUGAUUUAAACACUAUUUAAAACUCUAUUUAAACACCUGUGCCUUCAAAGAACACUUAAAAACAUAGCAAACUGCACCUGAGACAGGAAAUGAAAAAAAGCAUUGUACCCUUAAUCUCAGCGGCUCAGGAGGCUGAGGCAGGAAAAUGGCGAGCUCAAAGCUAGCCUCAGCAAUUUAGCGAGACCCUAAGCAACUUAGUG
This 2058-nucleotide long non-coding RNA is filed under the name Marmota monax (woodchuck). The record is from RNAcentral. Lineage: Eukaryota; Metazoa; Chordata; Mammalia; Rodentia; Sciuridae.